AUAGUGAGACUGUAUAAUAGCUGGGUCGUUGUUUAUAGGUUGUGUAGGUUGAAGAGGUGGCGAAGACUUAACUUGCAAAUCCUUGAUAUCACUUCCACGAAAAAGUAUGUAUUCAUAAGUCUUGUCACUUGGAGGUACUUGAGGCCCAUCCUUUUUUCUUCCCUCUGUUCCAAAUGAUCUUACAUUGCGUAGACCGAUACUGGACUCAUCAGUGUUGAUGUUAUAGAGAAUGCCUUCAUACCGGAUCUCACUCUUCGAAGUCAAGCUAAUCAAACUACCGAUAUACGAAUCCGCCGACGAUCCACUAGAUCUGGCCGAUGAACUCUCUGCCGCCAUAACUAUUACUAAAUUUUCACUGAAAAACUCAUAUACCUGGAAAAAAUCUAGAGAGAGAAAGAGAACGGAGGAUGAGAGAGAAAGAGUUGACUAGUUCCU
RNAcentral lists this unclassified non-coding RNA (435 nucleotides) under Hevea brasiliensis (rubber tree). Lineage: Eukaryota; Viridiplantae; Streptophyta; Magnoliopsida; Malpighiales; Euphorbiaceae. The record is from RNAcentral.